This 250-nucleotide ribosomal RNA is filed under the name Pluteaceae sp. 5 CRJH-2017. Its description in RNAcentral is "partial 28S ribosomal RNA". It matches the Rfam family "Eukaryotic large subunit ribosomal RNA", at positions 104 to 344 of the family's 3401-position model. Lineage: Eukaryota; Fungi; Basidiomycota; Agaricomycetes; Agaricales; Pluteaceae. The record is from RNAcentral.
AGAGCUCAAAUUUAAAAUCUGGCGGCCUCUGGCUGUCCGAGUUGUAAGCUAGAGAAGUGCUGUCCGCGCUGGGGCCAUGUACAAGUCUCCUGGAACGGAGCGUCGUGGAGGGUGAGAACCCCGUCUCUGACAUGGACCUCCCAGGGCAUAGUGAUUGCGCCCUCGAAGAGUCGAGUUGUUUGGGAAUGCAGCUCCAAAUGGGUGGUAAACUCCAUCUAAAGCUAAAUACUGGCGAGAGACCGAUAGCGAA